ACGGCUCACCAUGGCGACGAUUGGUAGCCGGACUGAGAGGUUGAACGGCCACAUUGGGACUGAGACACGGCCCAGACUCCUACGGGAGGCAGCAGUGGGGAAUAUUGCACAAUGGAGGAAACCCUGAUGCAGCGACGCCGCGUGGAGGAAGAAGGUCUUCGGAUUGUAAACUCCUGUCCCAGGGGACGAUAAUGACGGUACCCUGGGAGGAAGCACCGGCUAACUAC
RNAcentral lists this ribosomal RNA (227 nucleotides) under uncultured bacterium. Its description in RNAcentral is "partial 16S ribosomal RNA". It matches the Rfam family "Bacterial small subunit ribosomal RNA", at positions 260 to 504 of the family's 1533-position model. The record is from RNAcentral.